UACGGAAGGCAGCAGUGGGGAAUAUUGCACAAUGGGCGCAAGCCUGAUGCAGCCAUGCCGCGUGUAUGAAGAAGGCCUUCGGGUUGUAAAGUACUUUCAGUCGUGAGGAAGGUGUUAAGGUUAAUAACCUUAGCAAUUGACGUUAGCGACAGAAGAAGCACCGGCUAACUCCGUGCCAGCAGCCGCGGUAAUACGGAGGGUGCGAGCGUUAAUCGGAAUUACUGGGCGUAAAGGGCACGCAGGCGGUUAAUUAAGUUGGAUGUGAAUCCCCGGGCUUAACCUGGGAAUGGCAUUCAAGACUGGUUAGCUAGAGUCUUGUAGAGGGGGUAGAAUUCCAUGUGUAGCGGUGAAAUGCGUAGAGAUGUGGAGGAAUACCGGUGGCGAAGGCGGCCCCUGGGACAAAGACUGACGCUCAUGUGCGAAAGCGUGGGGAGCGAAACAGGAUUAGAUA
RNAcentral lists this ribosomal RNA (451 nucleotides) under uncultured bacterium. RNAcentral describes it as "bacterial SSU rRNA". It matches the Rfam family "Bacterial small subunit ribosomal RNA", at positions 340 to 784 of the family's 1533-position model. The record is from RNAcentral.